This is a long non-coding RNA of Fukomys damarensis (Damara mole-rat), 439 nucleotides long. RefSeq lists it as uncharacterized. The record is from RefSeq and is a predicted model, not a curated record. NCBI's taxonomy places the organism in Eukaryota, Metazoa, Chordata, Mammalia, Rodentia, Bathyergidae. The transcript is spliced from 3 exons.
UCUCGCGUUAGUUUGUGAGAAGCUGAGAUGAAGCCGAGGCUGGGUUUCUUCUCCGAAUUUGCCCGGGCUCCAAGGUCCUGCGUCACCUCACCGGGCUUUGCGCCCACUUGUGACCUGUUCCCAUUCUUACCCAAGGAAAGGGAUGAGAAAUGAAGAAAGCAAGACUGCCCUGACCUUCACGUGCAGAACCCUGGCCUGUGUGGCUGAGCCGCCUUGCGGACUCGAACAGGGGGCACCAUGAUGGCCUGCACGACGGGACUCGGCCAGCACAAUAUUUAUUCCCAUCAAAGGUCGCUACUCAUCGCCAGUUGCUGCUAAUUGUCACUGGAUGCUGCUAAUUGACACUGCUCUCUGGUAGUCACUGGUGCACAGAGCAGGUCUGUAUCUAAUCUGCAUAACUAGGGUAUGCACUAGAACUCUUGUAAACUGACGGGUGGAA